GACGAACGCUGGCGGCGUGCCUAAUACAUGCAAGUCGAACGCUUCUUUCCUCCCGAGUGCUUGCACUCAAUUGGAAAGAGGAGUGGCGGACGGGUGAGUAACACGUGGGUAACCUACCCAUCAGAGGGGGAUGACACUUGGAAACAGGUGCUAAUACCGCAUAACAGUUUAUGCCGCAUGGCAUAAGAGUGAAAGGCGCUUUCGGGUGUCGCUGAUGGAUGGACCCGCGGUGCAUUAGCUAGUUGGUGAGGUAACGGCUCACCAAGGCCACGAUGCAUAGCCGACCUGAGAGGGUGAUCGGCCACACUGGGACUGAGACACGGCCCAGACUCCUACGGGAGGCAGUAGUAGGGAAUCUUCGGCAAUGGACGAAAGUCUGACCGAGCAACGCCGCGUGAGUGAAGAAGGUUUUCGGAUCGUAAAACUCUGUUGUUAGAGAAGAACAAGGACGUUAGUAACUGAACGUCCCCUGACGGUAUCUAACCAGAAAGCCACGGCUAACUACGUG
RNAcentral lists this ribosomal RNA (508 nucleotides) under uncultured bacterium. RNAcentral's name for it is "partial 16S ribosomal RNA". It matches the Rfam family "Bacterial small subunit ribosomal RNA", at positions 28 to 507 of the family's 1533-position model. The record is from RNAcentral.